ACCUACGGGACGCAGCAGUGGGGAAUAUUGCACAAUGGGGGGAACCCUGAUGCAGCAAUGCCGCGUGGGUGAAGAAGCACUCCGGUGCGUAAAGCCCUGUCAGCAGGGAAGAAAAUGACAGUACCUGGACAAGAAGCCCCGGCUAACUACGUGCCAGCAGCCGCGGUAAUACGUAGGGGGCAAGCGUUAUCCGGAUUUACCGGGUGUAAAGGGCGUGUAGGCGGGCAUGCAAGCCAGAAGUGAAAUCUGGGGGCUUAACCCCCAAACUGCUUUUGGAACUGCGUGUCUUGAGUGAUGGAGAGGCA
Molecule: ribosomal RNA, 305 nt
Filed under: uncultured bacterium
Lineage: Bacteria
Description: bacterial SSU rRNA
Rfam family: Bacterial small subunit ribosomal RNA
Source: RNAcentral